AGCGCAAAUGAUGAACAACAAAGGGACUUAAUGCUGAAACCUGAUGUUACGUUGUGAUGCUGAUAUGUGC
This is a small nucleolar RNA of Loxodonta africana (African savanna elephant), 70 nucleotides long. Its record names the gene SNORD82. It matches the Rfam family "Small nucleolar RNA SNORD82". Rfam says of the family: snoRNA U82 or Z25 is found in both humans and mice. U82/Z25 is a member of the C/D class of snoRNA which contain C (UGAUGA) and D (CUGA) box motifs. The record is from Ensembl. NCBI's taxonomy places the organism in Eukaryota, Metazoa, Chordata, Mammalia, Proboscidea, Elephantidae.